This is a long non-coding RNA of Diorhabda sublineata, 2234 nucleotides long. RefSeq lists it as uncharacterized. NCBI's taxonomy places the organism in Eukaryota, Metazoa, Arthropoda, Insecta, Coleoptera, Chrysomelidae. The transcript is spliced from 2 exons. The record is from RefSeq and is a predicted model, not a curated record.
AAAACGAUCGCGAUCUUUCAACUGUUCGCGAGCGUUCAACUCAUCGUGAAGGUUAAAAUGAUCGCGAUCUUUCAACUGUUCGCGAGCGUUCAACUCAUCGUGAAAUUUAAAACGAUCGCGAUCUUUCAACUGUUCGCGAGCGUUCAAUUCAUCGUGAAGGUAGAUGCGGAAAGCGGAUUCUAAAUAAUGUAAAUUUAUAUCAAAUUUGAAGAACACUUUGAAGGGUCUAUUAGUAAUGAGGAACGAUCUGGAAAUUUUGCCUUUAUUAUAUCGAUUGUUUCGUGCGUGUCGUGGUAGAUGGCGCACGUGCGCAGUAACGAAUAUGUUCGUCAAAUAGUUAGACCUGUACAGAGUGUUUAAUUUUUAUACAAUCGUUCCAUUAUUAACAAUUUCAUUAUUACGACGAUUUACAAAAACAAUUUUAUCAUGUAAAUAUAAAGUUUUUGUUUACUUGUUAAGCUACGUUUGUUAAUUUCAUAUUUAUCUCGAUUUCUUAGCAAUUGAUAUUAUUUGAGGCUAGUUCGAAAGUAAGAAGAUUUUAACUUUAAAAUUUAUAUAAUUUUUAAUUUGUUUUGGUAUAAAACAACCAAAUCGACGUACUUGACUUUGACUAGGUGGUUGAAAAAAAUUUUCCGAUAAACGGAACAUCCUGUAUUCUACAAAAGUCUUAGAUCUUGCGAUUAUUCUAAAUAUACGAGUCAAAAACCAACUUUCUGUUUAGUAAUUUCAAAUUUUUUAAAUAAUAUUCCGAAUUCAACGAUUUUUUUUGGAAAAUUUAGUAUUUUUAAAUGGUAAUCUGAUAAAAAAAAUCCUUUUUGAAAUUUGAUAUCGUUUCUGAUAAGAUAAUUGAAAAUUUUUUUGCAUCUCAACUUUCUUAUUUUCAAUUUUUUUCAAUGGAAUUUGUACAGGGUGUCAAAUAUAAGGUUCUUUGUAUUCGAAUGAAUGUUUAGAUUAUAUAGGGUGUCCUAAUUCUUUAGUAUCGACACCAAAUUUGGAAUUUUCAAUAGGAACACCCUUUAUUUAAAUUUAUUUAAAUCUAAAACUUCCUUCCUAAAACACGGAGAAGAAGAAGAAGUUUUUUGAUAAAUCUCACAGGUUCGGUGAAAGUGUUCAUGUUUGUGUAAAAUUGAAAAUAAAAAUUUUGAUCGCGAAAAAACGUUUGUCCUUUGAAAAGCGCUACAUUUUGAACCUUUUUUGGAUAACUCCUCAAGUUGUGAGGAUUCCCCAAAUGUUUUAACCGUACAGUUAACGCGGUCUACAGUUUCUUCCUCCUCCAUUUUACUAGUAGCACUCCGGGUCAUCCGUGAUGUUUAUACUAUGGAAACGGCGACCAUUUCCUGUUCCAGUUUAAUUUGGCGCCUAUUUAAUUGGUAAUAGAAGCCGAACGUCUAUCUAUGUAUGCCUUAGGUUGUCCCACACUCGUUUCUCUAGCUAUCUCCACAAAGUUUGUCUUGUAAACACCAAGAAAGGAUUCUGGGUCUAGUUGCAAAUUUGCCGAUCCCAAUUCGGCGAACAAGUUCGCUUCGUCGUUGCCUAAAGUGACCUGAUAUCCAAACGAGCUGGAAUUUGCGGCUAUCACUCACCAGCUCUUGUAGGACUUUGUUGCACUCUCAACACAAGUCUAGAGCAAACGUUUCGGCUUGUAAGACAGCUCUUAAGAUUACCUCGGUUGGGAAAAUGGUAGGCAAACGCGGAAAAUUCGAUUAUUUUGUGGUGCUAUUCCGAUCAAUCCUUUCUUUCUAGUACCAGGUGGUUAAAGUCACCAGUCGAUUGCUCGUUAGCUAUUCUUAUUAUUGCAGCAGGAGUCCAUUAAAAUGAUCGGACACCUUAAAUUCUUGCGCCUGAGAUAAUCGCGAGGCAGUUGCUCCAUUUUGUAGUUCUUCGAGGAUAAAAAUUGUAUUUAGAAUGGUCUCCUUUUUCCCUAAAUCCGUUUUUCUUCAAUUGGCAAAGGAGUUGCUCCGAUUUAGUUGUACUCUAAACCGUAUUUUAUAUUUGUACCAACCACCUGAUGAAUAAGUUAAAACGGUAAAAUUGCAGGUGACAAUUUUCUUAUUUUCCACUAUAUCAUUUUUGGAAAUCGACGUGUACAUUUUUAGUCAGUACGUUUUUUCUUCAUCUUUUAAUGUGUAUAUCUAAAUCUAGUUUUUAUCACUACUGUAUUUUACAUAAAAUGUGAUGACAAAAACUAUCAUAGUUAUGUAAUUUUCACAAAAUAAAAGAGAAUAACGUGGAAA